RNAcentral lists this ribosomal RNA (503 nucleotides) under uncultured bacterium. RNAcentral describes it as "bacterial SSU rRNA". It matches the Rfam family "Bacterial small subunit ribosomal RNA", at positions 8 to 518 of the family's 1533-position model. The record is from RNAcentral.
AGAGUUUGAUUAUGGCUCAGGAUGAACGCUGGCGGCGUGCUUAACACAUGCAAGUCGAACGAAGCCAAAAGGAAGCUUGCUUCUUGAAGCUUAGUGGCGGACGGGUGAGUAACGCGUGAGGAACCUGCCCUUCAGUGGGGAAUAACAGCCGGAAACGACUGCUAAUACCGCAUAACGUCACCGGGUCGCAUGACCUGGUGACCAAAGGAUUUAUUCGCUGAAGGAUGGCCUCGCGUCCGAUUAGGCAGUUGGUGAGGUAACGGCCCACCAAACCUACGAUCGGUAGCCGAACUGAGAGGUUGAUCGGCCACAUUGGGACUGAGACACGGCCCAGACUCCUACGGGAGGCAGCAGUGGGGAAUAUUGGGCAAUGGGCGAAAGCCCUGACCCAGCAACGCCGCGUGAAGGAAGACGGUCUUCGGAUUGUAAACUUCUUUGAUUGGGGAAGAACACAAUGACCUACCCAAAGAACAAGUCACGGCUAACUACGUGCCAGCCGCUGC